This is a long non-coding RNA of Gigantopelta aegis, 376 nucleotides long. RefSeq lists it as uncharacterized. The record is from RefSeq and is a predicted model, not a curated record. Lineage: Eukaryota; Metazoa; Mollusca; Gastropoda; Neomphalida; Peltospiridae. The transcript is spliced from 3 exons.
AAACGAUGUGUCAUCAUCAAAUUUACAGGGAAAAACUCUUAAAUGUAUAUUGCGCAAUAUUAUUGGAUGAAGACGUAGCAGUCUGCUAGUUCGAUGCGACACAAUGUGAUUUUUUUCAAGUUGUGCAGUGAUACAAGCAAGCCAUGAUCUAAGCUUUCAAGAAGAAGAUGGCUAACUUUGAAAAUGGUUAAUCCUGAUUAUGUCAAAGAGAAGAAUUGUUAUCAAGGAUGUUGAAACAUCAGACUCAGAGGCAAAGAAGAUUCACGAGGAUGUAAAUUCAACCAAAUCUUUGUCGACCAACACUAAUAUACAAGCUGCCAUGUCAUCGGUAGACCCUUCAUCAUAUGGUAAACAAUUAACAUAGAGUAAAAGUAAC